UGCCUGGUGGUCCUGUGGUUAGGAUUCCACAGUUUCACUGCUGAGGGCCCAGGUUCGAAUCCUGGUCGGGGAA
Molecule: transfer RNA, 73 nt
Filed under: Bos taurus (domestic cattle)
Lineage: Eukaryota; Metazoa; Chordata; Mammalia; Artiodactyla; Bovidae
Also listed under: 5 other names
Rfam family: tRNA
About the family: Transfer RNA (tRNA) molecules are approximately 80 nucleotides in length. Their secondary structure includes four short double-helical elements and three loops (D, anti-codon, and T loops).
Source: Rfam by way of RNAcentral